CAGCAGCCGCGGUAAUACGUAGGGUGCGAGCGUUAAUCGGAAUUACUGGGCGUAAAGCGUGCGCAGGCGGUUUUGUAAGACAGGCGUGAAAUCCCCGGGCUCAACCUGGGAAUGGCGCUUGUGACUGCAAAGCUAGAGUGCGGCAGAGGGGGAUGGAAUUCCGCGUGUAGCAGCGAAAUGCGUAGAUAUGCGGAGGAACACCGAUGGCGAAGGCAAUCCCCUGGGCCUGCACUGACGCUCAUGCACGAAAGCGUGGGGAGCAAACAGGAUUAGAUACCCCGGUAGUCCCUGUCUCUUAUAC
RNAcentral lists this ribosomal RNA (301 nucleotides) under uncultured bacterium. Its description in RNAcentral is "partial 16S ribosomal RNA". It matches the Rfam family "Bacterial small subunit ribosomal RNA", at positions 509 to 807 of the family's 1533-position model. The record is from RNAcentral.